UUGGUUAUCGCUUACAGAUGGGCCUGCGGCUCAUUAGCUAGUUGGUAGGGUAACGGCUUACCAAGGCAACGAUGGGUAGCCGGCCUGAGAGGGUGGUCGGCCACACUGGGACUGAGAUACGGCCCAGACUCCUACGGGAGGCAGCAGUAAGGAAUAUUGCGCAAUGGUCGCAAGACUGACGCAGCAACGCCGCGUGGAUGAUGAAGCUCUAUGGAGUGUAAAGUCCUGUUAGAAGGGAAGAACAGUACGGAGUCAAAGCUUCGUGCAUGACGGUACCUUCAGAGAAAGCCCCGGCUAACUCCGUGCCAGCAGCCGCGGUAAUACGGGGGGGGCAAGCGUUGUCCGGAAUUACUGGGCGUAAAGGGCGCGUAGGUGGAAUUGUAAGUUAGAGGUGAAAGCCAGCAGCUUAACUGCUGGUCUGCCUUUAAUACUGCAGUUCUUGAGUGCGAAAGAGGGAAGCGGAAUUCUUGGUGUAGCGGUGAAAUGCGUAGAUAUCAAGAAGAACACCGGUAGCGUAGGCGGCUUCCUGGUUCGUAACUGACACUGAGGCGCGAAAGUGUGGGGAGCAAACAGGAUUAGAUACCCUGGUAGUCCACACCGUAAACGAUGGAUACUAGGUGUUGGGUUUCACGACUCAGUGCCGAAGUUAACGCAUUAAGUAUCCCGCCUGGGGAGUACGAUCGCAAGGUUGAAACUCAAAGGAAUUGACGGGGGCCCGCACAAGCGGUGGAGCACGUGGUUUAAUUCGAUGCAACGCGAAGAACCUUACCGGGGUUUGAAAUGCAGUUGCUCUCCGUUGAAAGACGGAUUUCCUUCGGGACAACUGUACAGGUGCUGCAUGGCUGUCGUCAGCUCGUGCCGUGAGGUGUUGGGUUAAGUCCCGCAACGAGCGCAACCCUUGUCCUUAGUUGCUAUCAGGUCAAGCUGAGAACUCUAAGGAGACUGCCUCGGAUAACGAGGAGGAAGGUGGGGAUGACGUCAAGUCCUCAUGGCCCUUACAUCCCGGGCUACACACGUGCUACAAUGGCCAGUACAACGGGAAGCGAUACCGUGAGGUGGAGCAAAUCCCUUAAAACUGGUCUCAGUUCGGAUUGUAGUCUGCAACUCGACUACAUGAGGUUGGAAUCGCUAGUAAUCGCGGAUCAGCAUGCCGCGCCUGAAUACGUUCCCGGGCCUUGUA
RNAcentral lists this ribosomal RNA (1180 nucleotides) under uncultured organism. RNAcentral's name for it is "bacterial SSU rRNA". It matches the Rfam family "Bacterial small subunit ribosomal RNA", at positions 208 to 1385 of the family's 1533-position model. The record is from RNAcentral.